CUAGGAAUUUACAAUAAUUUCACUACUUUACUAACACCUUUUACAACUGUCGAUCUUAAGUUGAAAGAUAAUAGUUUAUAUAUUUUUAAUAGAAUAUAUAAAAGGCUAUCGGAAUAUUACAUAACGUGGACCAAAUAGGCUUUUAGUGUAGUUAACAAAUACAGUAUGAUUACCGACCGUUCCUAGCGCAAGUGACAAAAGGCUUGAUGGUUGAUACCCGAGAUCCCAAGUUCGAAUUCUAGUUGAUUCAUAUUUCUGGCUAAGUUUAUUUUUAAAUAAAAUAAACGAAGCAGGUAGCGUGCUACCUAUCUCUCAAACAAAAAAAAUAAUUAAUUCGUAACAACAAUAUCAAGAAUAGUGUGAUAGUGGCUGUGGUGGCAAUGAAACAACAAUGGUGCACUAACAACAACAGCCAUAGCCACGACAAGGAUUAUUAUGAUGCAUAGCGCAGUAACCUGUACGAUGCAACGGAAAAUAAUUGAAGAAAACAUAGAAAACUUAGAUAAAAAAAAAGUGAUGAUGAGGGUGGGAUUCAUCUUGCCGAUAAACAAAAAUAACAGCCAAAGGAAGAGGAAGAUGAAGGACUUGAGCUUGUUCGGGGUGGAGUCCACUCUCAACCAUAAAGGAAAAUUUGUCAUGUGGCAAUUUUAAGAGAAAUAAUGUAGACGAAGAGAUGAGGAAGGGAAACUAAGGAAGAGAGAAAAAAAAUGGUAUGAUAAUUAUUAAGGAUUGCUUUGUUGUAUGUAGUUGCAACUAUAUUGCAAGUUGUAGUUAAAUCAAAAUUCAAGUUUGGUGUUUGGUUUGAUGCGUUUGAAUUAACUACUACGGUUGGAACUACAUGAUGAGGUUCAAGUGCAAAAUUUAAAACUAUGGCCAAAUUUGCUGCAACUCUAGUUGAAGUAGUUGGUAAUAGGAAAUCUUACCUCCAUAAUCACUUUUUAAACAAAAAAAAAAAAUUUUUUUUUUACAUUGGAGCUAAUCUCACUACCACAUAUAUAAAAUGAUAAAUUUUACAAAUACACUUCUCAACAACAUACAACCAAAUAAAUUAUUUAUAAUUAUAGUACUUUCUACUGCAUCCAACCAAAUGAGAUAUAUGUAGUUGUAAUUGUUGCAUUGUAAUAAACUGAGCUUUCGCAAACAGCAAGAGUUCUAGUAAGAAAUAGUAAUGUAAACUAUUUAGAU
This 1185-nucleotide long non-coding RNA is filed under the name Ananas comosus (pineapple). RNAcentral describes it as "long non-coding RNA (ACOM_LNC015364)". The record is from RNAcentral. Lineage: Eukaryota; Viridiplantae; Streptophyta; Magnoliopsida; Poales; Bromeliaceae.